RNAcentral lists this unclassified non-coding RNA (200 nucleotides) under Oryza sativa (Asian cultivated rice). RNAcentral describes it as "partial microRNA MIR472a-1 precursor". Lineage: Eukaryota; Viridiplantae; Streptophyta; Magnoliopsida; Poales; Poaceae. The record is from RNAcentral.
AGCUGCAGCAGUAGUACUCCCUAUGUACUACUUCCUCCGUUUCACAAUGUAAGUCAUUCUAGCAUUUCCCACAUUCAUAUUGACGCUAAUGAAUCUCAUUAGCGUCAAUAUGAAUGUGGGAAAUGCUAGAAUGACUUACAUUGUGAAACGGAGGAAGUAUAAUAUAAGGGAUUUUAACUUUUUGCUUGCACUGUUUGACU